Molecule: ribosomal RNA, 449 nt
Filed under: uncultured bacterium
Lineage: Bacteria
Description: bacterial SSU rRNA
Rfam family: Bacterial small subunit ribosomal RNA
Source: RNAcentral
UGACGGUACCUGCAGAAGAAGCGCCGGCUAACUACGUGCCAGCCGCCGCGGUAAUACGUAGGGGGCCAGCGUUGUCCGGAAUUAUUGGGCGUAAAGAGCUCGUAGGCGGCUUGUCACGUCGGAUGUGAAAACCCGGGGCUUAACCCCGGGCGUGCUUUCGAUACGGGCUGACUAGAGUGAAGUAGGGGAGAGCGGAAUUCCUGGUGUAGCGGUGAAAUGCGCAGAUAUCAGGAGGAACACCGGUGGCGAAGGCGGAUCUCUGGGCCUUAACUGACGCUGAGGAGCGAAAGUGUGGGGAGCGAACAGGAUUAGAUACCCUGGUAGUCCACACCGUAAACGUUGGGAACUAGGUGUGGGCAACAUUCCACGGCUUCCGUGCCGCAGCUAACGCAUUAAGUUCCCCGCCUGGGGAGUACGGCCGCAAGGCUAAAACUCAAAGGAAUUGACGG